GUGAGGAAUAUUGGUCAAUGGGCGCAAGCCUGAACCAGCCAUCCCGCGUGAAGGAAGAAGGCGCUAUGCGUUGUAAACUUCUUUUCCAGAGGAAGAAAAACUCCGACGUGUCGGGGCUUGACAGUACCCUGGGAAUAAGCAUCGGCUAACUCCGUGCCAGCAGCCGCGGUAAUACGGAGGAUGCGAGCGUUAUCCGGAUUUAUUGGGUUUAAAGGGUGCGCAGGCGGGAUAAUAAGUCAGUGGUGAAAACCUGCAGCUUAACUGUAGAAUUGCCAUUGAUACUGUUGUUCUUGAGUAUGGUCAAGGUAGGCGGAAUGUGUAAUGUAGCGGUGAAAUGCUUAGAUAUUACACAGAACACCGAUUGCGAAGGCAGCUUGCUGGGCCAUUACUGACGCUCAUGCACGAAAGCGUGGGGAUCGAACAGGAUUAGAUACCCCGGUAGUCC
RNAcentral lists this ribosomal RNA (445 nucleotides) under uncultured bacterium. Its description in RNAcentral is "bacterial SSU rRNA". It matches the Rfam family "Bacterial small subunit ribosomal RNA", at positions 354 to 796 of the family's 1533-position model. The record is from RNAcentral.